UAGAAAAAUGUUUUUAUGUAUUUCUCUUAUUUUUCUCCAUUUUUGUUUGUUUUUUGUUUUUACUU
This 65-nucleotide non-coding RNA is filed under the name uncultured eukaryote. The record is from RNAcentral.